AUUGAACGCUGGCGGCAGGCCUAACACAUGCAAGUCGAGCGGAUGAAGGGAGCUUGCUCCUGGAUUCAGCGGCGGACGGGUGAGUAAUGCCUAGGAAUCUGCCUGGUAGUGGGGGAUAACGUCCGGAAACGGGCGCUAAUACCGCAUACGUCCUGAGGGAGGAAGUGGGGGAUCUUCGGACCUCACGCUAUCAGAUGAGCCUAGGUCGGAUUAGCUAGUUGGUGGGGUAAAGGCCUACCAAGGCGACGAUCCGUAACUGGUCUGAGAGGAUGAUCAGUCAAACUGGAACUGAGACACGGUCCAGACUCCUACGGGAGGCAGCAGUGGGGAAUAUUGGACAAUGGGCGAAAGCCUGAUCCAGCCAUGCCGCGUGUGUGAAGAAGGUCUUCGGAUUGUAAAGCACUUUAAGUUGGGAGGAAGGGCAGUAAGUUAAUACCUUGCUGUUUUGACGUUACCAACAGAAUAAGCACCGGCUAACUUCGUG
Molecule: ribosomal RNA, 484 nt
Filed under: uncultured bacterium
Lineage: Bacteria
Description: partial 16S ribosomal RNA
Rfam family: Bacterial small subunit ribosomal RNA
Source: RNAcentral